RNAcentral lists this ribosomal RNA (465 nucleotides) under uncultured bacterium. RNAcentral describes it as "partial 16S ribosomal RNA". It matches the Rfam family "Bacterial small subunit ribosomal RNA", at positions 28 to 507 of the family's 1533-position model. The record is from RNAcentral.
GAUGAACGCUGGCGGCGUGCUUAACACAUGCAAGUCGAACGGAAAGGCUCCUGCUUGCAGGGGUACUCGAGUUGCGAACGGGUGAGUAACACGUGGGUGAUCUGCCCUGCACUUCGGGAUAAGCCUGGGAAACUGGGUCUAAUACCGGAUAGGACGAUGGUUUGGAUGCCAUUGUGGAAAGUUUUUCGGUGUGGGAUGGGCUCGCGGCCUAUCAGCUUGUUGGUGGGGUAAUGGCCUACCAAGGCGUCGACGGGUAGCCGGCCUGAGAGUGUGUAAGGCCACAUUGGGACUGAGAUACGGCCCAGACUCCUACGGGAGGCAGGAGUGGGGAAUAUUGCACGAUGGGCGGAAGCCUGAUGCAGCGACGCCGCGUGGGGGAUGACGGCCUUCGGGUUGUAAACUCCUUUCGCUAGGGACGAAGCGAAAGUGACGGUACCUGGAGAAGAAGCACCGGCUAACUACGUG